RNAcentral lists this non-coding RNA (32 nucleotides) under Macaca fascicularis (crab-eating macaque). Lineage: Eukaryota; Metazoa; Chordata; Mammalia; Primates; Cercopithecidae. The record is from RNAcentral. RNAcentral also lists the same sequence under 1 other name.
AUAGGUUUGGUCCUAGCCUUUCUAUUAGCUCU